RNAcentral lists this long non-coding RNA (1484 nucleotides) under Trifolium pratense (red clover). Its description in RNAcentral is "long non-coding RNA (TPRA_LNC001633)". The record is from RNAcentral. Lineage: Eukaryota; Viridiplantae; Streptophyta; Magnoliopsida; Fabales; Fabaceae.
UGAACCGGUGCUUCCUUCAGCUAAGACGACCACAUUAUAAGAACUCUCUGGCGAGAAAUCGUCCGUCAAAGAUGUCUUGAUUAAGGUAUAUUUGACAUCUGUUUCAACAACUUUCUGCAAGAACUCUUGAAUCGUCAAAGGUUGAGACUUAGAGAAGAGAUUGUUGAAGAAAGAGGAGAUGCCAUCAAGUACAUUGUUGGUUGAGGUUCCGGCUCCAUUUUUGUCAUCNNNNNNNNNNNNNNNNNNNNNNNNNNNNNNNNNNNNNNNNNNNNNNNNNNNNNNNNCAUAGAUGACUGCAACAUGGCCCACGCCUGCCAGCUGAGCCGCCAGAAUUACUUGCAAGGCAUCUGAAGUGGAAACCGCAGCCGUUGGACCGUUCUCAGUGGGACCAAUGGUGACAACCACUUUGCUUGCAUUGCCUAUUGCUUUUGCUAUUGAAUUUGCAUCAACAAAGCUUGACUCCACGGCAUUGAGACGCUUUGCCUCUUCAUUUGAUAUAAUCUGUGUUCACCAUCCAUUACUAAUUUAGUAUCUCAUCCCAACUCACUCCAAAUGGAAAAUUUCAUAAAAAUUUAAUCCAAUGGUCCAGUAUCAUGUUUUAAUUGUUGAAAAUUAAAUUGUGAACCAUGAAAUUAUGUAUUAGAUAAAAUUAAAUUAAGUGUGUAAGUGGGAAAAACUCUUAAAUAUAAUAUUUCUAACUUUUGGAUCAUAAACACGGACAUUAUACACAACAUUGAUACUGACAUGUAGACAUCGAUAAUAAUUGAAUGCAAUUGCAUGUGUAGGUAUUGUGUCAACACAUGUCGGUCAAUGAACAUGUCUUGGUGCUAGAUAGGAUACACCAUUUGUCUGAUUGGAUCUUGAAUUUUAACAAUCUAAAUUGGUUUGAUUAAGAAAAAAAUAGAGUAUAUUUCACAAAAUACUUAAUUUAAAGUAAAGAAGCUACAAAGCAAUACAAGAAGGUUCACAGUAGUGACCCUUUUGAGUUAACAGAUGCAACCUAUGAAGCAAUGACCAAUACCGCCACACAAUAAUAAUUGAAAGAAGAAAAAACCAAGUGAUUAAAUUGUACCUAAAACACAUGUGAGACACCAAACACGCCUUCAAUCGUGUCUUAAAUAUACUUGUGCUAAAUAGGAAGGAUGCAUCAUGCAACAUUUGUUUGAUUGAAUCAUGAACAUUAAUAAUAAUAAUAAUAAUAAUAAUCUAAAUUAGUGUUUUGAUUAAGAUGCUUAAUAAUAAUUACCUUAUAUUGAGAAGCAAGUUGAGCCAAUUCCUGAGCAGAACCAAGUUCAGGAACACCAGCUCUAACACUAAACCCUUCCCUAAGCAAAGUUUGAGCAAUGCGAAUACCAGCUUGACCUGUAGCACCGGCAACAAAAACCGUCGAAGAAUCCUUCCUCCUAGGACUUCCAAAUGACAAACCUGGCAAAGAAGAGUUUUUGCUCCCAACAGGUAUCAAAGAAGUGACAUCAGGUAAUUUU